Molecule: ribosomal RNA, 466 nt
Filed under: uncultured bacterium
Lineage: Bacteria
Description: partial 16S ribosomal RNA
Rfam family: Bacterial small subunit ribosomal RNA
Source: RNAcentral
GAUGAACGCUGGCGGCGUGCUUAACACAUGCAAGUCGAACGGAAAGGCCCAAGCUUGCUUGGGUACUCGAGUGGCGAACGGGUGAGUAACACGUGGGGGAUCUGCCCUGCACUUCGGGAUAAGCCUGGGAAACUGGGUCUAAUACCGGAUAUGACCUCAUUUUGGAUGGUGUGGUGGAAAGUUUUUCGGUGUUGGUUUAGCUGGCGGCGUAUCAGCUUGUUAGUGGGGUAAUGGCCUACCAAGGCGUCUACGGGUAGCCGGCCUCAGAGGGUGUACGGCCACACUGGGUCCGAGGGGCGGCCGCGGCACCUACGGGAGGGAGCAGGGGGGAAUCUUGCCCGAUGGGCGCCAGCCUGAUGCAGCGACGCCGCGUGGGGGAUGACGGCCUUCGGGUGGUAAACUCCUUUCGCUAGGGACGAAGCGUUAUGUGACGGUACCUGGAGAAGAAGCACCGGCUAACUACGUG